CCAAAAAUGGUACUCCUUUAAAGACCAUCCUUGCGGUCAUAUUUUUACUAUAUGCCGUUUAUCAUGGUACUUCACGGUAAACCAGUUAAAAAUACUUGCUUGUCAAGAAAUUGAGCACAUGGCACCAUAUAUACUAUGAUAAAAAAAGUGCCAGCAAUCGCGGUCAAACUUUUGUAGUUGUAAAAAUACACAGACUUCAUAACUUUUUCUUUCCACUCCAUGGUGAAAUAUGGCGUGAUAAUAUAUCAUAAACGUUCCAUUUUCCUAACGACUGACCACAAACAGGGAUUAGAUACCCUUCUAUGCAGUAGAUAGACAACCUCUGGGAACUAAAACAGCGUUCAAACCCAACCAAACUGGCGGCAAUUUUAACAUUUAGGGGAACUUAUGGAAUAAAUGAUAGCCCUCAAGAAAAUUUACACCAGGUUAUAGUUUGCAUACCGUCGUCGACAGAUAGACUAAAAUAUCCUAUCAUAACCUUUAAAGUACAAGACAGAUCAAGGUGCAGCCGAUCUUGGUGAGUCCGCGAGUUACUAUAAAAAAUGUAUUCACAUAUAUAUAGAGUUAUGUAUAAGUGAAGGACUUAAAAGUAAUAAAAAUAAAGAAUAGUUUAUGAAUCCACCGUGGAAUUGUGC
RNAcentral lists this ribosomal RNA (635 nucleotides) under Faustina faustina. RNAcentral describes it as "partial 12S small subunit ribosomal RNA". The record is from RNAcentral. Lineage: Eukaryota; Metazoa; Mollusca; Gastropoda; Stylommatophora; Helicidae.